RNAcentral lists this ribosomal RNA (596 nucleotides) under uncultured bacterium. RNAcentral describes it as "bacterial SSU rRNA". It matches the Rfam family "Bacterial small subunit ribosomal RNA", at positions 253 to 847 of the family's 1533-position model. The record is from RNAcentral.
CGGGGUAACGGCCCACCAAGGCGACGAUGCGUAGGGGUUCUGAGAGGAAGGUCCCCCACACUGGUACUGAGACACGGACCAGACUCCUACGGGAGGCAGCAGUGAGGAAUAUUGGUCAAUGGGCGAGAGCCUGAACCAGCCAAGUCGCGUGAGGGAGUACUGCCCUAUGGGUUGUAAACCUCUUUUGUCGGGGAGCAAAAGCCGGACGUGUCCGGCUGUGAGAGUACCCGAAGAAAAAGCAUCGGCUAACUCCGUGCCAGCAGCCGCGGUAAUACGGAGGAUGCGAGCGUUAUCCGGAUUUAUUGGGUUUAAAGGGUGCGCAGGCGGAUUUUUAAGUCAGCGGUCAAAUCGUGGGGCUCAACCCCAUCCAGCCGUUGAAACUGGGGAUCUAGAGUGUGCGAGAGGUAUGCGGAAUGCGUGGUGUAGCGGUGAAAUGCAUAGAUAUCACGCAGAACCCCGAUUGCGAAGGCAGCAUACCGGUGCACAACUGACGCUCAGGCACGAAAGCGUGGGUAUCGAACAGGAUUAGAUACCCUGGUAGUCCACGCAGUAAACGAUGAAUGCUACCUGUUUGGCCAGAUUGAAGGCUGAGCGGG